Molecule: long non-coding RNA, 735 nt
Filed under: Nicotiana benthamiana
Lineage: Eukaryota; Viridiplantae; Streptophyta; Magnoliopsida; Solanales; Solanaceae
Description: long non-coding RNA (NBEN_LNC006523)
Source: RNAcentral
AACAUCCCUAACCCUCGGAGAGAAAAUGAAAAUGACGCACUCCCCCUUCUUCUUCUCCAUUCCCCAUUCUUCCCCAUUCACUCUCCUACCCGCACCUAUCAUACACACACUUAAUCACACAUGCCUAAGCCUCUGGAAACAACCAAAAAUUACAGAGUUUACUUCUGAAAUUCAAGGUUAAAGAGCUGGGUGCAAUCAUUUUAUUUUUUUACAUUUUGGGGAACUCGGAUUGUUUGGUCGCUACGUUGUCGCUAUUUAUGCUACUGAAUCUGUGAGCUAUUUAGCUGAGCUCCAACUGGUUUUUCGGAUAACGAUAGUACAAGGUUGUCCGCGAUAACGAUAGUACAAGGUUGGUGUUCUCAGCUUUUCUUGUUUUUUGGCUGAAAGGAUAUCUACAUCCAAACUUACGUCCCUCUGUACUAUUAAGCUCUUUAAGUAUGGUUUAUUUUAUAUGAAAGAAGGCAUCUGCUUCAGCAAAUUUCAUGGCUCUUGAUAAGAUAUUUUAGUUGGCUUACAAAGUUAUGUGUCGUGAUUGUAGCUAUGUGCUAGUUCUGCUUUCAGAAGUUUACCUUUGUGUUUACCCUUAAUGUUUGUUCUAUCAUACUUGUGUCGUCUUGGUUAGUUUUCAAGAAAAGUUGUUUCUCAAACAUUUAAAUAGCUAGUCUUUCUGUUAGGUGACAAGUUAUGAAGAGACUUGAUAUGUAAAAUCUUGAGAUCACCUUUAUCUGACCUGGG